This 465-nucleotide ribosomal RNA is filed under the name Vreelandella stevensii. RNAcentral describes it as "partial 16S ribosomal RNA". It matches the Rfam family "Bacterial small subunit ribosomal RNA", at positions 338 to 795 of the family's 1533-position model. Lineage: Bacteria; Pseudomonadati; Pseudomonadota; Gammaproteobacteria; Oceanospirillales; Halomonadaceae. The record is from RNAcentral.
CCUACGGGGGGCUGCAGUGGGGAAUAUUGGACAAUGGGCGAAAGCCUGAUCCAGCCAUGCCGCGUGUGUGAAGAAGGCCUUCGGGUUGUAAAGCACUUUCAGUGGGGAAGAAAGCCUUGGGGCUAAUACCCUCGAGGAAGGACAUCACCCACAGAAGAAGCACCGGCUAACUCCGUGCCAGCAGCCGCGGUAAUACGGAGGGUGCGAGCGUUAAUCGGAAUUACUGGGCGUAAAGCGCGCGUAGGCGGUCUGAUAAGCCGGUUGUGAAAGCCCCGGGCUCAACCUGGGAACGGCAUCCGGAACUGACAGGCUAGAGUGCAGGAGAGGAAGGUAGAAUUCCCGGUGUAGCGGUGAAAUGCGUAGAGAUCGGGAGGAAUACCAGUGGCGAAGGCGGCCUUCUGGACUGACACUGACGCUGAGGUGCGAAAGCGUGGGUAGCAAACAGGAUUAGAUACCCGGGUAGUC